UCGGAGUGUGUUUCUACGUUGGACUUUCCAAGUUGAUGCUGAAAAAACUUCUAUUACUUCCUCUCGUUGUGCUGUUAAGUUGAUGGAUGUUGGGCUACUUGUUCAUUGACUUGGACAGAGUCAUGGAUCUCUUGACUGGUAAUUGCCACUGGAUUGAAUCUAUGUAGUUGAACUCCAUGAGUAGGUCAGUGUGAUACUCCAUUUUGGUCUCUGUGCUGUACAUGAUGGAGGGUUUGUUCCAUUGGAGCAAAAACUUGAGAUUCAAGCACAAUUGUUGAUUAUGAGCUCCCCGACAAUUCCAUAACUUUAUCUUCAUUAGUCGUUCAUGCUAUGGGAAGCUCUCUUCGGAGCCAAUGUUAGUUCCAAGCACGUUAGCAAGUGAGGAGGAUCGUAUAGGGCUGCUGGUAGUAAGUUGUCUUGUAGGGUUGGGAUCAAGAGCAUGACAUAUCUCUCUUCCACUGAGGAUGGGUUUAGGAGAAUGUUCAAUGGGGUUUUCUUGAGUUUUGGGUGGGAGGGUGGGUGAAGAUUAUCUGUGCUGUACAUGAUGGAGGGUUUGUUCCAUUGGAGCAAAAACUUGAGAUUCAAGCACAAUUGUUGAUUAUGAGCUCCCCGACAAUUCCAUAACUUUAUCUUCAUUAGUCGUUCAUGCUAUGGGAAGCUCUCUUCGGAGCCAAUGUUAGUUCCAAGCACGUUAGCAAGUGAGGAGGAUCGUAUAGGGCUGCUGGUAGUAAGUUGUCUUGUAGGGUUGGGAUCAAGAGCAUGACAUAUCUCUCUUCCACUGAGGAUGGGUUUAGGAGAAUGUUCAAUGGGGUUUUCUUGAGUUUUGG
RNAcentral lists this long non-coding RNA (827 nucleotides) under Nicotiana benthamiana. RNAcentral describes it as "long non-coding RNA (NBEN_LNC014756)". The record is from RNAcentral. Lineage: Eukaryota; Viridiplantae; Streptophyta; Magnoliopsida; Solanales; Solanaceae.